CAGAAGCGUAUAUUAAUGUUGUUGCAGUUAAAACGCUCGUAGUUGGAUUUUGGAGAGGAGUGGAGAUCUGUCCGCCUGAAGGCGAGUACGGACUCGCUCCCUUCGUAGUUGGUGACGAUGCACGGGGGCUGCUUAAGUGCGGCGCUCGUGAGCUGGAGGGGGAGACUCUGAAGGCGAGGUCUUGGCUCUUUUUGUGGAGUCGGGCAGCAUUUCACCUCAUUUACUUUGAAAAAAUAGAGUGCUCAAAGCAGGCCUUAGGGCCAUUGAAUAAUUCAGCAUGGGAUAAUAGAAUAAGAGACUUGAACUCAUUUUGUUGGUAUUUUGAGUUUGGUUUAAUGAUUAACAGGGACAGUCGGGGUGGUUCGUAUUGAGUAGUCAGAGGUGAAAUUCUUGGAUUUUCUCAAGACGAACUGCUGCGAAAGCCAUCCACUAGGAUGCUUUCAUUAA
RNAcentral lists this ribosomal RNA (447 nucleotides) under uncultured eukaryote. Its description in RNAcentral is "partial 18S ribosomal RNA". It matches the Rfam family "Eukaryotic small subunit ribosomal RNA", at positions 592 to 976 of the family's 1831-position model. The record is from RNAcentral.